CGGCGUGCUUAACACAUGCAAGUCGAACGGAGUUUUAACGGAAGUUUCGGAUGGAAGUUUAGAAACUUAGUGGCGGACGGGUGAGUAACGCGUGGGUAACCUGCCUCAUACAGGGGGGAUAACAGUUAGAAAUGACUGCUAACACCGCAUAAUAUAGCGAAACCGCAUGAUUUUUGCUAUCAAAUAUUUAUAGGUAUGAGAUGGGCCCGCGUCUGAUUAGCUAGUUGGUGGGGUAAAGCCUACCAAGGCGACGAUCAGUAGCCGGCUUGAGAGAGUGACCGGCCACAUUGGGACUGAGACACGGCCCAAACUCCUACGGGAGGCAGCAGUGGGGAAUAUUGGACAAUGGGGGAAACCCUGAUCCAGCGAACCGCCGCGUGAGUGAAGAAGUAUUUCGGUAUGUAAAGCUCUAUCAGCAGGGAAGAUAAUGACAGUACCUGACUAAGAAGCCCCGGCUAACUACGUGCCAGCCGCAGC
This 477-nucleotide ribosomal RNA is filed under the name uncultured bacterium. RNAcentral's name for it is "bacterial SSU rRNA". It matches the Rfam family "Bacterial small subunit ribosomal RNA", at positions 40 to 518 of the family's 1533-position model. The record is from RNAcentral.